AGUGAACGCUGGCGGUAGGCCUAACACAUGCAAGUCGAACGGCAGCACAGUAAGAGCUUGCUCUUAUGGGUGGCGAGUGGCGGACGGGUGAGGAAUACAUCGUAAUCUACUUUUUCGUGGGGGAUAACGUAGGGAAACUUACGCUAAUACCGCAUACGACCUACGGGUGAAAGCAGGGGAUCUUCGGACCUUGCGCGAUUGAAUGAGCCGAUGUCGGAUUAGCUAGUUGGCGGGGUAAUGGCCCACCAAGGGGACGAUCCGUAGCUGGUCUGAGAGGAUGAUCAGCCACACUGGAGCUGAGACACGGUCCAGACUCCUACGGGAGGCAGCAGUGGGGAAUAUUGGGCAAUGGGCGCAAGCCUGAUCCAGCCAUACCGCGUGGGUGAAGAAGGCCUUCGGGUUGUAAAGCCCUUUUGUUGGGAAAGAAAAGCAGCAGGUUAAUACCCCGCUGUUCUGACGGUACCCAAUGAAUAAGCACCGGCUAACUUCGUG
RNAcentral lists this ribosomal RNA (492 nucleotides) under uncultured bacterium. RNAcentral describes it as "partial 16S ribosomal RNA". It matches the Rfam family "Bacterial small subunit ribosomal RNA", at positions 29 to 507 of the family's 1533-position model. The record is from RNAcentral.